RNAcentral lists this ribosomal RNA (253 nucleotides) under uncultured bacterium. RNAcentral describes it as "partial 16S ribosomal RNA". It matches the Rfam family "Bacterial small subunit ribosomal RNA", at positions 524 to 776 of the family's 1533-position model. The record is from RNAcentral.
UACGUAUGGGGCAAGCGUUAUCCGGAUUUACUGGGUGUAAAGGGAGCGUAGGCGGCCUGGCAAGCCUGAUGUGAAAUACCGGGGCCCAACCCCGGGGCUGCAUUGGGAACUGCCAGGCUGGAGUGCCGGAGAGGCAGGCGGAAUUCCUAGUGUAGCGGUGAAAUGCGUAGAUAUUAGGAGGAACACCAGUGGCGAAGGCGGCCUGCUGGACGGUGACUGACGCUGAGGCUCGAAAGCGUGGGGAGCAAACAGG